AGGCCUUUUGGUUGUAAAGCACUUUAAGCAGUGAAGAAGACUCUUCGGUUAAUACCCGGGGACGAUGACAUUAGCUGCAGAAUAAGCACCGGCUAACUCUGUGCCAGCAGCCGCGGUAAUACAGAGGGUGCAAGCGUUAAUCGGAAUUACUGGGCGUAAAGCGAGCGUAGGUGGCUUGAUAAGUCAGAUGUGAAAUCCCCGGGCUUAACCUGGGAACUGCAUCUGAAACUGUUAGGCUAGAGUAGGUGAGAGGGAAGUAGAAUUUCAGGUGUAGCGGUGAAAUGCGUAGAGAUCUGAAGGAAUACCGAUGGCGAAGGCAGCUUCCUGGCAUCAUACUGACACUGAGGCUCGAAAGCGUGGGUAGCAAACAGGAUUAGAUACCCUGGUAGUCCACGCCGUAAACGAUGUCUACUAGUCGUUGGGUCCCUUGAGGACUUAGUGACGCAGCUAACGCAAUAAGUAGACCGCCUGGGGAGUACGGCCGCAAGGUUAAAACUCAAAUGAAUUGACGGGGGCCCGCACAAGCGGUGGAGCAUGUGGUCUAAUUCGAUGCAACGCGAAGAACCUUACCUGGUCUUGACAUACACAGAAUCUUGUAGAGAUACGAGAGUGCCUUCGGGAAUUGUGAUACAGGUGCUGCAUGGCUGUCGUCAGCUCGUGUCGUGAGAUGUUGGGUUAAGUCCCGCAACGAGCGCAACCCUUGUCCUUAGUUACCAGCAC
RNAcentral lists this ribosomal RNA (720 nucleotides) under uncultured bacterium. Its description in RNAcentral is "bacterial SSU rRNA". It matches the Rfam family "Bacterial small subunit ribosomal RNA", at positions 412 to 1124 of the family's 1533-position model. The record is from RNAcentral.